AUUGAACGCUGGCGGCAUGCUUUACACAUGCAAGUCGAACGGCAGCGCGGGGCAACCUGGCGGCGAGUGGCGAACGGGAGAGUAAUAUAUCGGAACGUACCCAGAAGUGGGGGAUAACGUAGCGAAAGUUACGCUAAUACCGCAUACGAUCUACGGAUGAAAGUAGGGGACCGCAAGGCCUUAUGCUUUUGGAGCGGCCGAUAUCUGAUUAGCUAGUUGGUGUGGUAAAGGCUCACCAAGGCGACGAUCAGUAGCUGGUCUGAGAGGACGACCAGCCACACUGGAACUGAGAAACGGUCCAGACUCCUACGGGGGGCAGCAGUGGGGAAUUUUGGACAAUGGGCGCAAGCCGGAUCCAGCAAGGCCGCGUGAGUGAAGAAGGCCUUCGGGUUGUAAAGCUCUUUUGUCAGGGAAGAAACGGUAGAGGCUAAUAUCCUUUGCUAAUGACGGUACCUGAAGGAUAAGCACCGGCUAACUACGUG
RNAcentral lists this ribosomal RNA (482 nucleotides) under uncultured bacterium. Its description in RNAcentral is "partial 16S ribosomal RNA". It matches the Rfam family "Bacterial small subunit ribosomal RNA", at positions 30 to 507 of the family's 1533-position model. The record is from RNAcentral.